Molecule: unclassified non-coding RNA, 396 nt
Filed under: soil metagenome
Description: partial contains 5.8S ribosomal RNA, internal transcribed spacer 2, and large subunit ribosomal RNA
Rfam family: 5.8S ribosomal RNA (bases 1-122)
Source: RNAcentral
GAUGAAGAACGUAGCGAAAUGCGAUACUUGGUGUGAAUUGCAGAAUCCCGUGAACCAUCGAGUCUUCGAACGCAAGUUGCGCCCGAAGCCAUUAGGCCGAGGGCACGCCUGCCUGGGUGUCACACACCGUUACCCUCGCGCCAACGUCCAUCGUUGGCCGCGACGCGGGGCGUGCGCUGACCUCCCGCGAGCGGGGUCUCGUGGUUGGUUGAAAAUCGAGUUCGCGGUCGAGGGUGCCGUGAUGAAAUGGUGGAUGGGCGACGCCCGAGACCAAUCACGCGCGACUCUGUCCGGCUCGGACUCCUGGACCCCUUCGGCGUCUCCGGACGCUCUUUGGCGAGACCUCAGGUCAGGCAGGGCUACCCGCUGAGUUUAAGCAUAUCAAUAAGCGGAGGA